AUACGGAGGGUGCAAGCGUUGUCCGGAUUUAUUGGGUUUAAAGGGUGCGUAGGUGGUUUUUUAAGUCAGUGGUGAAAGCCUACAGCUUAACUGUAGAGGUGCCAUUGAUACUGGGGAACUUGAGUAUGGACGAGGUAGGCGGAAUUUGUGGUGUAGCGGUGAAAUGCAUAGAUACCACAAGGAACACUGAUAGCGAAGGCAGCUUACUGGGCCAUAACUGACACUGAGGCACGAAAGCGUGGGGAGCGAACAGGAUUAGAAACCCCAGUAGUCC
RNAcentral lists this ribosomal RNA (274 nucleotides) under uncultured bacterium. RNAcentral's name for it is "partial 16S ribosomal RNA". It matches the Rfam family "Bacterial small subunit ribosomal RNA", at positions 523 to 796 of the family's 1533-position model. The record is from RNAcentral.